This 594-nucleotide ribosomal RNA is filed under the name uncultured Verrucomicrobiota bacterium. RNAcentral's name for it is "bacterial SSU rRNA". It matches the Rfam family "Bacterial small subunit ribosomal RNA", at positions 329 to 915 of the family's 1533-position model. Lineage: Bacteria; Pseudomonadati; Verrucomicrobiota. The record is from RNAcentral.
CAGGUCACUCCUACGGGAGGCAGCAGUCGAGAAUUUUUCUCAAUGGGCGAAAGCCUGAAGGAGCGACGCCGCGUGGGGGAUGAAGGGUUUCGAUCCGUAAACCCCUGUCAUUUGCGAACAAACCUUAGCAUUUAAAAGAUGUUGAGCUGAUUGUAGUGAAAGAGGAAGGGACGGCUAACUCUGUGCCAGCAGCCGCGGUAAUACAGAGGUCCCAAGCGUUGUUCGGAUUCACUGGGCGUAAAGGGUGCGUAGGUGGCUUGGUAAGUUUGAUGUGAAAUCUCCGGGCUUAACCCGGAAAUGGCAUUGAAUACUAUUGAGCUGGAGGUUUGGAGGGGGGACUGGAAUUCUCGGUGUAGCAGUGAAAUGCGUAGAUAUCGAGAGGAACACCAGUGGCGAAGGCGAGUCCCUGGACAACACCUGACACUGAGGCACGAAAGCUAGGGGAGCAAACAGGAUUAGAUACCCUGGUAGUCCUAGCUGUAAACGGUGCAUAUUUGCUGUAAAAGGAAUCGACCCCUUUUGUGGCGAAGCUAACGCGAUAAAUAUGCCGCCUGGGAAGUACGGUCGCAAGAUUAAAACUUAAAGGAAUUGACG